UACGGAGGGUGCAAGCGUUAAUCGGAAUUACUGGGCGUAAAGCGCGCGUAGGUGGCUUGAUACGCCGGUUGUGAAAGCCCCGGGCUCAACCUGGGAACGGCAUCCGGAACUGUCAAGCUAUAGUACAGGAGAGCAAGGUAGAAUUCCCGGUGUAGCGGUGAAAUGCGUAGGGGUCGGGAGGAAUACCAGUGGCGAAGGCGGCCUUCUGGUCUGACACUGACGCUGAGGUGCGAAAGCGUGGGUAGCAAACUGG
Molecule: unclassified non-coding RNA, 253 nt
Filed under: uncultured Halomonadaceae bacterium
Lineage: Bacteria; Pseudomonadati; Pseudomonadota; Gammaproteobacteria; Oceanospirillales; Halomonadaceae
Description: contains 16S-23S intergenic spacer region
Rfam family: Bacterial small subunit ribosomal RNA
Source: RNAcentral